This 349-nucleotide ribosomal RNA is filed under the name Serrotibia sp. CO1009. RNAcentral describes it as "partial 12S ribosomal RNA". Lineage: Eukaryota; Metazoa; Arthropoda; Insecta; Coleoptera; Salpingidae. The record is from RNAcentral.
UAAAAAUGUAAUUUUUAAUUUAAAAUUAUUAUAAGUUAAGGUCUUUAAAAUUAAAAAUUAUGGCGGUAUUUUAGUCUUUUCAGAGGAACCUGUUUUUUAAUUGAUAAUCCACGAUAAGUUAAACUUUUUUUAAAAAUUUAUAUAUCGUUGUAGGAAGAAUAUUUUAAAAGAAUUUUAAUAUUCAAAAUUUAAAAUAAUAAAAUAAUUCAAAUCAAGGUGUAGUUAUAAAAAAGGUAAAAUGGGUUACAAUAGAUUUAUUUUUAGAUUUUUAAUUUAAAGUUAAAAUGAAAUUGGAUUUGAAAGUAAUAUAAAUUUUUAUUUUUAAAUAUGAUUUUGCUCUAAAAUAUGC